UUGGAGGGCAAGUCUGGUGCCAGCAGCCGCGGUAAUUCCAGCUCCAAUAGCGUAUAUUAAAGUUGUUGCAGUUAAAAAGCUCGUAGUUGAAUUUCGGGGUCAGUAGGUUGGUCGUGCCACCGGUACGUACUGGUCUCACUGAUUCCUCCUUCCUGAUGAGCUGUAAUGCCAUUAAUUUGGUGUUGCAGGGAAUCUGGACUGUUACUUUGAAAAAAUUAGAGUGUUUAAAGCAGGCUAACGCUUGAAUACAUUAGCAUGGAAUAAUGAAAUAGGACGUUCGAUCCUAUUUUGUUGGUUUCUAGGAUUGACGUAAUGAUUAAUAGGGAUAGUUGGGGGCAUUAGUAUUCAAUUGUCAGAGGUGAAAUUCUUGGAUUUAUUGAAGACUAACUACUGCGAAAGCAUUUGCCAAGGAUGUUUUCAUUAAUCAAGAACGAAAGUUAGGGGAUCGAAGACGAUCAGAUACCGUCGUAGUCAUAACCAUAAACUAUGCCGACUAGGGAUCGGAUGAUGUUAAUUUUUUAAUGACUCAUUCGGCGCCUUACGGGAAACCAAAGUGUUUGGGUUC
Molecule: ribosomal RNA, 565 nt
Filed under: uncultured Glomeromycotina
Lineage: Eukaryota; Fungi; Glomeromycota
Description: SSU rRNA
Rfam family: Eukaryotic small subunit ribosomal RNA
Source: RNAcentral